UUCUUAAGCUAUUUCAACAAAGAGUUCCUUUUUUUAUAUUUGUUAACUAAAAAAAUUAGCUUGGACAGCUGUUCUAUUUAAAAAACAUAAGAAAAAAAGGAAAACAUCAUACAUUAAAGUUCAGUAUUGAAGUAACUUGUAGCUGCUAGGGGGGUUCACAGGGCAACAAGUGCAAUGACUGCCUUACUUUACUUCAAGGAAGUGUUUUCGUCGAAUUUCUGUUGGCCUCACAGCUGACAUUUGAAUUUUGAUUAUUUUUAAUAUCAACUAGACCGACUGUAGAGUAUCUCACGUGGGGCCUCAAGUGUGAACGUCCCUUGUUUGCUGCAUAUACACACAACUCAAGGUAUGCAAGUGUGGGUAAAGUACUGUUGAGGUCUUGCUUGUAUGGCAUGCACCUCCCUAUCCGUGUGUAUUGAUGUGUGAACGAUAUGUACUUAAUACUGUCAUUCAAUUUUAACGUAAAUUUAGUCUGAUUUCUUCUCUGUUCUUUAUAGUCAACGUUUACGGUUCGGUACGGGUGCGGUAUUCGUUUGAAAUAUAAUUUCGAAAAAAAACACAAAGUGCGACGAUUUCAUAAAUACAAAAAACAAAAAAUAUUUUUUUAUAUAAAAUUUUUGUGAUAUUCGGCGUUUAUUUUUUUCGGUUUUUUUCCCACUCCCAAAUUUUUUUUUUUUAGUUUUAAAAUACGAAACAAAAAUAAAAACAACAAAGAUACACACUACCCUAUUGGUGUUGUUUGAAUUGUAACAAAGAAAUACAGUUUUUGCGUAAAGUUGCACCAACUGCAGGAACAGGAAGUUCCCAAGCCAUCACCACCACCACCACCACCACUACACCUUGUAGCAAUAUUCCAAUUGUAGAUAAGAGUCUAAUUAAUAGCAACAACACCUACAAUCCCGAAAACAACAACAAGAACAACAACAACACCACGACCA
Molecule: long non-coding RNA, 938 nt
Organism: Stomoxys calcitrans (stable fly)
Lineage: Eukaryota; Metazoa; Arthropoda; Insecta; Diptera; Muscidae
Exons: 2
Source: RefSeq, a predicted model, not a curated record